This 97-nucleotide transfer RNA is filed under the name archaeon HR06. RNAcentral's name for it is "tRNA-Arg". It matches the Rfam family "tRNA". Rfam says of the family: Transfer RNA (tRNA) molecules are approximately 80 nucleotides in length. The record is from RNAcentral.
UGGGCUCGUAGCCUAGCAAGGAUAAGGCACUGAAACCUUUAAGGUUGUGUAGGCCUUCGGAGCCAGAGGUCAGGGGUUCGAGUCCCCUCGAGCCCAU